RNAcentral lists this ribosomal RNA (406 nucleotides) under uncultured bacterium. RNAcentral describes it as "partial 16S ribosomal RNA". It matches the Rfam family "Bacterial small subunit ribosomal RNA", at positions 30 to 526 of the family's 1533-position model. The record is from RNAcentral.
AUUGAACGCUGGCGGCAGGCCUAACACAUGCAAGUCGAACGAGUGGCGGACGGGUGAGUAAUGUCUGAGCACCUGCCCGAUGGAGGGGGAUAACUACUGGAAACGGUAGCUAAUACCGCUAACCCUCGUAUGUGCCCAGAUGGGAUUAGCUAGUAGGUGGGGUAACGGCUCACAUUGGCGACGAUCCCUAGCUGGUCUGAGAGGAUGACCAGCCACACUGGAACUGAGACACGGCCCAGACUCCUACGGGAGGCAGCAGUGGGGAAUAUUGCACAAUGGGCGAAAGUCUGAUGCAGCCAUGCCGCGUGUAUGAAGAAGGCCUUCGGGUUGUAAAGUACUGUCAGCGAGGAGGCGUUACUCGCAGAAGAAGCACCGGCUAACUCCGUGCCAGCAGCCGCGGUAAUAC